GAACGCGAAAGCUCCCUUCGGGGAGCAAGUAGAGUGGCGCACGGGUGAGUAACACGUAGGUAAUCUACCUUUGGAUGGGGAAUAACAACCGGAAACGGUUGCUAAUACCGCAUAAUGCAGCGGCACCUAGUGGUGACAGUUGUUAAAGCGGGGGAUCGCAAGACCUCGCGUCUAAAGAGGAGCCUGCGGCAGAUUAGCUAGUUGGUAAGGUAACGGCUUACCAAGGCGAUGAUCUGUAGCCGGCCUGAGAGGGCGGUCGGCCACACUGACACUGACAUACGGGUCAGACUCCUACGGGAGGCAGCAGUCGGGAAUUUUGGGCAAUGGGCGAAAGCCUGACCCAGCAACGCCGCGUGAAGGAUGAAAUCCCUCGGGAUGUAAACUUCGCAAGAACGGGAAGAAUAAGUAAGAGUUAAUAUCUCUUACGAUGACGGUACUGUUUGUAAGCUCCGGCUAACUCCGUGCCAGCAGCCGCGGUAAUACGGGGGGAGCAAGCGUUGUUCGGAUUUACUGGGCGUAAAGGGCGCGUAGGCGGCCUCUGCAAGUCGACUGUGAAAUCUCCGGGCUUAACCCGGAAAGGUCAGCCGAUACUGCAGGGCUAGAGUGCAGAAGGGGCAACUGGAAUUCUCGGUGUAGCGGUGAAAUGCGUAGAUUUCGAGAGGAACACCUGCGGCGAAGGCGGGUUGCUGGGCUGACACUGGCGCUAAGGCGCGAAAGCUAGGGGAGCGAACGGGAUUAGAUACCCCGGUAGUCCUAGCCUUAACGAUGAAUGCUUGGUGU
This 780-nucleotide ribosomal RNA is filed under the name uncultured Actinomycetes bacterium. RNAcentral's name for it is "bacterial SSU rRNA". It matches the Rfam family "Bacterial small subunit ribosomal RNA", at positions 64 to 823 of the family's 1533-position model. Lineage: Bacteria; Bacillati; Actinomycetota; Actinomycetes. The record is from RNAcentral.